UAAAACUAGUUUUUGGAGGUUAAUUUUGCUUUAAAAAACAGCAAAUUUGAAGUACUCUAUAAGAAAUCUACAACCACAUUAAAGCUUAUCAACAUAAAAUAUAUAUUAAACAGUAUUUGUUCUAGAAGAAUCAAGAAAAAAAUCUGCAGGCAACUUAAGCAUUUAUAUAUGAUAACUGAUUUAAAUCCAUAAUUUUCUGUCACUUUUGCUUCAAAUUACCUCCCUUUGGUAUAGCUCUCUAACAUAGGAGGAAUAAACGGUAGUUUGCUUACAUUGUUUUCAAUAACAGUGUACAGAAGACUAGCAGAAAAUUACUAACUUGGAGCAGUCUGAGCCUCAGUUUUGGCGUUUUCAUGAGUCUUAAUUACGAAUGAAAUUCGGCACUUUGAAGCCAGACUCGGAAAGAAGCAGAAACAGAAUUGGAUGAGCUGAUAUAGAAUUAGACAGGAAAAACAUAUUAUCAUUAUGAGAAUACAUUAUUACAGUACAGACCAUUGAUGCUGGAAGUGAGUGGAUAGUGGAUAGAGACUCGGGGAUCCAGAAAAUAGAUCCAUAAAUUGUACAGUGUAUUCAUGAAAGUGGAUCAAAUAAAAAUGUUCAAUCCAAAAGUAACAUUCUUUGUUUGUCUGUUAGCAUUUUUUUUAUUGAUGUAAAUCUAAUAACUAUCAAAUUUUAGCAUGCAGAUUCAUAAAUAGAUAGUAGAAGAAUCUGAAACAUAUCUUUAUAUUCUGCAUUUUGAAGUAUCAUAAUUAAUACAAGGUCAAUAUUAAAUGAUUAAUUAAUUUCAAAACUGACAAAAUGUUUUUGUGAGAAAAAAGAAAGAGCGCUAAUUUAUAUAUUGUACCUCAUGUACCACUGAUGUUGGUGUGAGUGAAAUAAAAAUAAUGAUGAUGAUGAACUAGUUAAAAGUCGGACGACACGUUCCUCAAAUUUAUAUGUUUUGUAUCUCUAGGUAUUAGGCCACACCAAUUUAAUUUCUUGUUCGUCGGACAUUUGAUUUAAAAAAAGUACAA
Long non-coding RNA from Saccostrea cuccullata (small rock oyster), 1013 nucleotides. RefSeq lists it as uncharacterized. NCBI's taxonomy places the organism in Eukaryota, Metazoa, Mollusca, Bivalvia, Ostreida, Ostreidae. The record is from RefSeq and is a predicted model, not a curated record. The transcript has 3 exons.